This 254-nucleotide ribosomal RNA is filed under the name uncultured prokaryote. RNAcentral's name for it is "partial 16S ribosomal RNA". It matches the Rfam family "Bacterial small subunit ribosomal RNA", at positions 524 to 777 of the family's 1533-position model. The record is from RNAcentral.
UACGUAGGUGGCAAGCGUUAUCCGGAAUUAUUGGGCGUAAAGAGCGCGCAGGUGGUUGAUUAAGUCUGAUGUGAAAGCCCACGGCUUAACCGUGGAGGGUCAUUGGAAACUGGUCGACUUGAGUGCAGAAGAGGGAAGUGGAAUUCCAUGUGUAGCGGUGAAAUGCGUAGAUAUAUGGAGGAACACCAGUGGCGAAGGCGACUUUCUGGUCUAUCAUUGACGCUGAGGCUCGAAAGCAUGGGCAGCAAACAGGA